UACAGAGGGUGCGAGCGUUAAUCGGAAUUACUGGGCGUAAAGGGUGCGUAGGUGGUUUGGUAAGUCAGAUGUGAAAUCCCCGGGCUUAACCUGGGAAUUGCAUUUGAUACUGUCAGACUAGAGUGUGGUAGAGGUAAGCGGAAUUCCCGGUGUAGCGGUGAAAUGCGUAGAUAUCGGGAGGAACAUCAGUGGCGAAGGCGGCUUACUGGACUAACACUGACACUGAGGCACGAAAGCGUGGGUAGCAAACAGG
RNAcentral lists this ribosomal RNA (253 nucleotides) under uncultured bacterium. Its description in RNAcentral is "partial 16S ribosomal RNA". It matches the Rfam family "Bacterial small subunit ribosomal RNA", at positions 524 to 776 of the family's 1533-position model. The record is from RNAcentral.